UACGAAGGGGGCUAGCGUUGCUCGGAAUUACUGGGCGUAAAGCGCACGUAGGCGGUCUUUUAAGUCGGGGGUGAAAUCCUGGAGCUCAACUCCAGAACUGCCUUCGAUACUGAGAGACUUGAGUCCGGGAGAGGUGAGUGGAACUGCGAGUGUAGAGUCGAAAUUCGUAGAUAUUCGCAAGAACACCAGUGGCGAAGGCGGCUCACUGGCCCGGUACUGACGCUGAGGUGCGAAAGCGUGGGGAGCAAACAGG
RNAcentral lists this ribosomal RNA (253 nucleotides) under uncultured bacterium. RNAcentral describes it as "partial 16S ribosomal RNA". It matches the Rfam family "Bacterial small subunit ribosomal RNA", at positions 524 to 776 of the family's 1533-position model. The record is from RNAcentral.